UACGUAGGUGGCAAGCGUUGUCCGGAAUUAUUGGGCGUAAAGCGCGCGCAGGUGGUUCCUUAAGUCUGAUGUGAAAGCCCACGGCUCAACCGUGGAGGGUCAUUGGAAACUGGGGAACUUGAGUGCAGAAGAGGAAAGUGGAAUUCCAAGUGUAGCGGUGAAAUGCGUAGAGAUUUGGAGGAACACCGGUGGCGAAGGCGGCAUCCUGGACCGAGAUUGACGCUGAGGCGCGAAAGCCAGGGGAGCAAACGGG
This 253-nucleotide ribosomal RNA is filed under the name uncultured bacterium. RNAcentral's name for it is "partial 16S ribosomal RNA". It matches the Rfam family "Bacterial small subunit ribosomal RNA", at positions 524 to 776 of the family's 1533-position model. The record is from RNAcentral.